RNAcentral lists this transfer RNA (73 nucleotides) under Camelus bactrianus (Bactrian camel). It matches the Rfam family "tRNA". Rfam says of the family: Transfer RNA (tRNA) molecules are approximately 80 nucleotides in length. The record is from Rfam by way of RNAcentral. RNAcentral also lists the same sequence under 2 other names. Lineage: Eukaryota; Metazoa; Chordata; Mammalia; Artiodactyla; Camelidae.
GAGGGUAUAGCUCAAGUGGUAGAGCACACGCUUAGCAUGCAAAGGGUCCUGGGUUCAAUCCCCAGUACUGCCU